Molecule: ribosomal RNA, 253 nt
Filed under: uncultured bacterium
Lineage: Bacteria
Description: partial 16S ribosomal RNA
Rfam family: Bacterial small subunit ribosomal RNA
Source: RNAcentral
GACGAGGGGUCCAAGCGUUGUUCGGAAUUAUUGGGCGUAAAGCGGGUGUAGGUGGCUCUAUAAGUCAGAAGUGAAAGCCCCGGGCUUAACCCGGGAAGAGCUUUUGAUACUGCAGAGCUUGAAUGUGGGAGAGGGUAGUGGAAUUCCAGGUGUAGUGGUGAAAUACGUAGAUAUCUGGAGGAACACCGGUGGCGAAGGCGGCUACCUGGCCCAACAUUGACACUGAGACCCGAAAGCGUGGGGAUCAAACAGG